AUUGAACGCUGGCGGCAGGCCUAACACAUGCAAGUCGAGCGGAUGAAGGGAGCUUGCUCCUGGAUUCAGCGGCGGACGGGUGAGUAAUGCCUAGGAAUCUGCCUGGUAGUGGGGGAUAACGUCCGGAAACGGGCGCUAAUACCGCAUACGUCCUGAGGGAGAAAGUGGGGGAUCUUCGGACCUCACGCUAUCAGAUGAGCCUAGGUCGGAUUAGCUAGUUGGUGGGGUAAAGGCCUACCAAGGCGACGAUCCGUAACUGGUCUGAGAGGAUGAUCAGUCACACUGGAACUGAGACACGGUACAGACUCCUGCGGGAGGCCGCAGUGGGGAAUAUUGGGCGAUGGGGGAGAGCCUGAUCCAGGCAUGGCGCGUGUAUGGAGAAGGUCUUAGGAUUGUAAAGCACUGUAAGUUGGGAGGAAGGGCAGUAAGUUAAUACCUUGCUAUUUUGACGUUACCAACAGAAUAAGCACCGGCUAACUUCGUG
This 484-nucleotide ribosomal RNA is filed under the name uncultured bacterium. RNAcentral describes it as "partial 16S ribosomal RNA". It matches the Rfam family "Bacterial small subunit ribosomal RNA", at positions 30 to 507 of the family's 1533-position model. The record is from RNAcentral.